CCUCUAUGGGAAGGGAAUGGUUUUGCAGGCAGAGGUAGGUACCAUUGCUCCACCUAUGACCAAAUGGCACUCUUCAAUUCUAUAUUCAGGUGGAUGCAUCCUCACGAAUGGCACUGGCACCUCUGCACAUUUCCAUCCCUGGCUGGAGACAGCACCAAGGACUAGAGGCAGGUUUGCUCUGCUCAGUCCCAGGAUGCAGCAGAAGGGGAUGAAGAAAGAGGCACAUAAUCCUGUCUGUGAUCCAAUCCAGUUUUUCCAGGUGAAAUCUCGUGUACUUCUGAGCCUCACAAAACCAAAGAAGUUGUCUCUGAAAUGACAUUUCCUACAAAUGCCUGGAGUCCUUAUCCUCUUGGAUCCAGCAAGUCAAGUCCAUUCUCUCUACCUACAAAUGAAGUCUUUCUGAUCAGAGUAAUGCAAGGAAAAAGAAAGGUUGCUUCCCAAGUCAAUUGGCGGCCUUGUCCACAACACAGGGGACUGUAACUUGCAUUGAAAAGACAUUUCUUUCUAAUUGAGUUAUGUGUUUUGUGUUUUCUUUUUAUUUUUUUUCUCCUAAAGCUCAACGUGUUUUUUAUUUAAAAUAACUUUAUCUGCUUAGAAUGUCCCUAAUCAGAACCAGCA
RNAcentral lists this long non-coding RNA (618 nucleotides) under Anas platyrhynchos (mallard). RNAcentral's name for it is "lncRNA (ENSAPLG00020008804.1)". Lineage: Eukaryota; Metazoa; Chordata; Aves; Anseriformes; Anatidae. The record is from RNAcentral.